RNAcentral lists this ribosomal RNA (448 nucleotides) under uncultured bacterium. RNAcentral's name for it is "bacterial SSU rRNA". It matches the Rfam family "Bacterial small subunit ribosomal RNA", at positions 329 to 793 of the family's 1533-position model. The record is from RNAcentral.
GACCAGACUCCUACGGGAGGCAGCAGUGGGGAAUAUUGCACAAUGGGGGAAACCCUGAUGCAGCGACGCCGCGUGAGUGAAGAAGUAAUUCGUUAUGUAAAGCUCUAUCAGCAGGGAAGAAAAUGGCGGUACCUGAGUAAGAAGCCCCGGCUAACUACGUGCCAGCAGCCGCGGUAAUACGUAGGGGGCAAGCGUUAUCCGGAUUUACUGGGUGUAAAGGGAGCGUAGACGGCAGUGCAAGUCUGGAGUGAAAGGCGGGGGCUCAACCCCCGGACUGCUCUGGAAACUGUACGGCUGGAGUGCAGGAGAGGUAAGUGGAAUUCCUAGUGUAGCGGUGAAAUGCGUAGAUAUCACACAGAACACCGAUUGCGAAGGCAUCUCACGAAUCCGCGAUUGACGCUGAUGCACGAAAGCGUGGGUAUCAAACAGGAUUAGAUACCCGUGUAUG